AUCUCUUGGUUCUGGCAUCGAUGAAGAACGCAGCGAAAUGCGAUAAGUAAUGUGAAUUGCAGAAUUCAGUGAAUCAUCGAAUCUUUGAACGCACAUUGCGCCCCUCGGUAUUCCGGGGGGCAUGCCUGUUCGAGCGUCAU
RNAcentral lists this ribosomal RNA (140 nucleotides) under Rhizoplaca chrysoleuca. RNAcentral describes it as "5.8S ribosomal RNA". It matches the Rfam family "5.8S ribosomal RNA". Rfam says of the family: 5.8S ribosomal RNA (5.8S rRNA) is a component of the large subunit of the eukaryotic ribosome. It is transcribed by RNA polymerase I as part of the 45S precursor that also contains 18S and 28S rRNA. Lineage: Eukaryota; Fungi; Ascomycota; Lecanoromycetes; Lecanorales; Lecanoraceae. The record is from RNAcentral.